RNAcentral lists this ribosomal RNA (429 nucleotides) under Bacteroidota bacterium. RNAcentral's name for it is "Bacteroidetes bacterium partial 16S ribosomal RNA". It matches the Rfam family "Bacterial small subunit ribosomal RNA", at positions 355 to 776 of the family's 1533-position model. The record is from RNAcentral. Lineage: Bacteria; Pseudomonadati; Bacteroidota.
UAGGGAAUCUUCCGCAAUGGACGCAAGUCUGACGGAGCAACGCCGCGUGAGUGAAGAAGGAUUUCGGUUCGUAAAACUCUGUUGUUAAGGAAGAACGAGUGUGAGAAUGGAAAGUUCAUACUGUGACGGUACUUAACCAGAAAGGGACGGCUAACUACGUGCCAGCAGCCGCGGUAAUACGUAGGUCCCGAGCGUUGUCCGGAUUUAUUGGGCGUAAAGCGAGCGCAGGCGGUUAGAUAAGUCUGAAGUGAAAGGCAGUGGCUCAACCAUUGUAGGCUUUGGAAACUGUUUAACUUGAGUGCAGAAGGGGAGAGUGGAAUUCCAUGUGUAGCGGUGAAAUGCGUAGAUAUAUGGAGGAACACCGGUGGCGAAAGCGGCUCUCUGGUCUGUAACUGACGCUGAGGCUCGAAAGCGUGGGGAGCGAACAGG